CCUACGGGUGGCUGCAGUAAGGAAUAUUGGUCAAUGGACGAAAGUCUGAACCAGCCAUGCCGCGUGGAGGAUGAAGGUCCUCUGGAUUGUAAACUUCUUUUAUAUGGGACGAAAAAAGGCUUUUCUAAGUCGUCUGACGGUACCAUAUGAAUAAGCACCGGCUAACUCCGUGCCAGCAGCCGCGGUAAUACGGAGGGUGCAAGCGUUAUCCGGAUUCAGGGGGUGUAGGUGGGGCGGAAAUGGAUUGGUGAAAUCCCCGAGCUUAACUUGGGAACUGCCAUUGAUACUAUCAGUCUUGAAUACCGUGGAGGUCAGCGGAAUAUGUCAUGUAGCGGUGAAAUGCUUAGAUAUGACAUAGAACACCAAUUGCGAAGGCAGCUGGCUACCCGAAUAUUGACACUGAGGCACGAAAGCGUGGGGAUCAAACAGGAUUAGAUACCCUAGUAGUC
This 449-nucleotide ribosomal RNA is filed under the name uncultured bacterium. Its description in RNAcentral is "partial 16S ribosomal RNA". It matches the Rfam family "Bacterial small subunit ribosomal RNA", at positions 338 to 795 of the family's 1533-position model. The record is from RNAcentral.